UACGUAGGGGGCAAGCGUUGUCCGGAAUCAUUGGGCGUAAAGCGCGCGUAGGCGGCCUUGUAAGUCCGCUGUGAAAGUCAAAGGCUCAACCUUUGAAAGCCGAUGGAUACUGUGAGGCUAGAGUCCGGAAGAGGCGAGUGGAAUUCCUGGUGUAGCGGUGGAAUGCGCAGAUAUCAGGAGGAACACCAAUAGCGAAGGCAGCUCGCUGGGACGGUACUGACGCUAAGGCGCGAAAGCGUGGGGAGCGAACAGG
RNAcentral lists this ribosomal RNA (253 nucleotides) under uncultured bacterium. RNAcentral's name for it is "partial 16S ribosomal RNA". It matches the Rfam family "Bacterial small subunit ribosomal RNA", at positions 524 to 776 of the family's 1533-position model. The record is from RNAcentral.